UUGCAAUCAAUUUUGACUCUCCAUUUAUUUGCAUAUAUCAUUCUCGAGCCUAGUUUCUAUCAUUAGUACAGUAUAAAAGUCCAUGAAGUUUGCCCAUAGACCUGCAGUGUGCCUAUGGCCAGCUUGAUUAAUGUCUGUAAAUGCUACCGAAUCGACAACCACACUACUCAUGAUGGUGAUACUUUGUAGACGCUUUGGAGGCUCGACGAUGUCCUGAGCUGAACAUAGAUCCAUUCCCACACCAUGGUCCAAUCUUAUGGACACGGUACUGUGUACAAGGACGAACCUCUAGUGUUUUGUUCUCAGACAGAGAAGGGAAAUGUAUGUGUGAAAUAAGUUUACUAACAAACUAAGUAGGAAUUGUGUUCAGAGUGAGAAAUACUUUCAUAACAUAUAAUUCAUAUGUUGUUAAAUUGUAUGUUUUUAUACAGAAAUUAAUGGUAAAAGACCGAAAUAGGAUCAGAGAAACUUAAAGAUAGAAUCCUUAUAUUGAAACAGAGGAAGUAGUAUCUGUACCUACCUAGAUCUAUUCUCGAACACUAGAAUUGUGUGCCAGCUGCAGACAUUGAUGUGCAGGCCUUGGCAUCAGGGCCGGGCCAUAGUACACGGUCCAGUUGUUGACAGCCAACUCGCCGAUCCUGGGAAGGUUCAAGAGCGAUGCCUGGUUCACCCUCAUGCCCCCCAAGUGUGGUGCAAGUAUAGACCUUGGAUCCUGAUUUCCUUGCCCUGCGUCAUAUCUGUCUUCAGGAGCUGCGAUCGACCUGCCCAUCGAGGUGGUGUGGUUCAUAUAAAUAACUUAUAUACGAUGAUUCAUAGUGGUAUAUAUCUG
This 829-nucleotide long non-coding RNA is filed under the name Sorghum bicolor (sorghum). Its description in RNAcentral is "long non-coding RNA (SBIC_LNC014751)". Lineage: Eukaryota; Viridiplantae; Streptophyta; Magnoliopsida; Poales; Poaceae. The record is from RNAcentral.